CUCGCUUUGUCGGCUGCCCAUGGAAGUCUGCAUAAAAGGGAACCCAGCAUUCCAUAGGAUUCCCACCGUCAUCCUCCCACCUUUCCCGCUAUUCUCCUACCCACACCCCUGCAGCAAGAUGACUCAGAUUGGGCAAUAAAUUCACAAGCUUUCCAGAAGCCGGGCACAGUGAAACAAGCCGGACUGCGUUCACAACAGUUGUGAGACCAAGGAGAGAGCAUCACAAGUUCAAGGCCAGCUCGAACUACACAUCGAGCUUCUGUCUAAAACAAGCAAAUAAAACUUGUCAAUCAACACACCUUCCAAACUGUUGAGAGGUGCCGAUACAACUGGCCAAUGUCAAUGAACUCGGCAGCCUUCGGACUGGCCGGGGGACCUUUCCUCUGCCCAGCGCCUGGGCUGAUGUCGCUGGUGAGCCUCGGAAAGGAGCUUCCUCCUCCCCCGAGGACUACUUAACUGGCAGGUGGAAUGAAAGGAGUUUUGUCUGAGAUGUGUACUGUAAAAUCCAGCUCACGUGGGAAGAUCGUCGCGAAUAAAGAGCUCCUGCUUGCAUCUUGAAAUGAAAGGGGGAACGUUCUCACCCUAUCACCGGAUAAACAUGCACUUAACAGUUUC
This 615-nucleotide long non-coding RNA is filed under the name Rattus norvegicus (Norway rat). RNAcentral's name for it is "long non-coding RNA NONRATT012905". Lineage: Eukaryota; Metazoa; Chordata; Mammalia; Rodentia; Muridae. The record is from RNAcentral.